GUGAUUUUCACCAGCAAUAGUGAUAGAGGGUAAAGAAGGUUUGGGUGGAUAUGAUAGCUGCUUAUAGGGAAUAAGGUCAGUAAGAGUGGUCCUGGAAUUUGCAUGCUAUCUUUAUUUAGCGCAGUGGUUAUGAAUAACUAUCUUAUCACAUCAUAUAACUGAAGGAAAUUCAUAUGGUGAUCAGAAAUAUUUGAGUCAGCUGGUCAUUUUUACUCACUCUAAAUCUGCCAUAUUUUGGUUCCCUCUCCUGCAGCUGUUAUUGUGCCAAGGACCCUGAGUCUUCACCAGGGAAGACUCACAUGCCCCAGGAAUGGAUGGAAAAGAAACAAAGUUUACAGCUUAGAAAUAUGUCUUUUUAGGAACUUUUUGUUCAUGAAUGCC
Non-coding RNA from Xyrichtys novacula (pearly razorfish), 381 nucleotides. The record is from the annotation of a GenBank genome assembly. Lineage: Eukaryota; Metazoa; Chordata; Actinopteri; Labriformes; Labridae.